Molecule: ribosomal RNA, 774 nt
Filed under: uncultured Neocallimastigales
Lineage: Eukaryota; Fungi; Neocallimastigomycota; Neocallimastigomycetes; Neocallimastigales
Description: partial large subunit ribosomal RNA
Rfam family: Eukaryotic large subunit ribosomal RNA
Source: RNAcentral
GUACACGCUGUGACUAGCAUAUCAAUAAGCGGAGGAAAAGAAACUAACAAGGAUUCCCUUAGUAACGGCGAGUGAAGCGGGAAGAGCUCAAAUUUGAAAUCUUCAAGGUUUUACCUUGACGAAUUGUAGUUUAAAGAAGUGUUUUCUGCUGAAGUUUUGGUAAAAGUUCUUUGGAAUAGGACAUCAUAGAGGGUGAGAAUCCCGUAUUUGACCAUUAUUUUCAGCUUUGUGAUACACUUUCAAAGAGUCGGAUUGUUUGGGAAUGCAGUCCAAAAUGGGUGGUAAAUUUCAUCUAAAGCUAAAUAUUGGCGAGAGACCGAUAGCGAACAAGUACCGUGAGGGAAAGAUGAAAAGAACUUUGAAAAGAGAGUUAAAUAGUACGUGAAAUUGUCAAAAGGGAAGGCGUUUAACACCAGUGUUGUUUUCUGAAAAUCAACCUCUGUUAGCUUUAUGCAUGUUUGUUUAGACCUAAUCAGCUAUCUUGCAUGUUCUAUUGUUUGCAGUGGUGCACUUUUCAGUUUACAGGUCAACAUCAGUUUUUUUUUACCGUAAAAAAGUUAAAGGAAAGGUAGCUCAUGGCUCCGGUCGUGAGUGUUAUAGUCUUUUUCCUAUGCGGUAGGAGAGACUGAGGUCUGCAGUGUAGGCUAUUUGGCUAGAUACUCAGGUGCUAUGUGAUACCAUUUCAUAAACAACUUGUUGAUUAUGUUUUGUCUAUUGCAUACUCGCUUGUACUAUCAUACCUACGCUUAGGAUGUUGAGUAGCGACAUACGCAC